UACGUAGGGGGCUAGCGUUGUCCGGAAUCAUUGGGCGUAAAGCGCGUGUAGGCGGUCCGGUAAGUCCGCUGUGAAAGUCGAGGGCUCAACCCUCGAAUGCCGGUGGAUACUGUCGGGCUAGAGUGCGGAAGAGGCGAGUGGAAUUCCUGGUGUAGCGGUGAAAUGCGCAGAUAUCAGGAGGAACACCUAUUGCGAAGGCAGCUCGCUGGGACGUUACUGACACUGAGGCGCGAAAGCGUGGGGAGCGAACAGG
RNAcentral lists this ribosomal RNA (253 nucleotides) under uncultured bacterium. RNAcentral describes it as "partial 16S ribosomal RNA". It matches the Rfam family "Bacterial small subunit ribosomal RNA", at positions 524 to 776 of the family's 1533-position model. The record is from RNAcentral.